This 595-nucleotide small RNA is filed under the name Alternaria alternata. RNAcentral describes it as "eukaryotic LSU rRNA". The stretch from base 220 to 373 matches the Rfam family "5.8S ribosomal RNA". The record is from RNAcentral. Lineage: Eukaryota; Fungi; Ascomycota; Dothideomycetes; Pleosporales; Pleosporaceae.
GGAAGUAAAAGUCGUAACAAGGUCUCCGUAGGUGAACCUGCGGAGGGAUCAUUACACAAAUAUGAAGGCGGGCUGGAACCUCUCGGGGUUACAGCCUUGCUGAAUUAUUCACCCUUGUCUUUUGCGUACUUCUUGUUUCCUUGGUGGGUUCGCCCACCACUAGGACAAACAUAAACCUUUUGUAAUUGCAAUCAGCGUCAGUAACAAAUUAAUAAUUACAACUUUCAACAACGGAUCUCUUGGUUCUGGCAUCGAUGAAGAACGCAGCGAAAUGCGAUAAGUAGUGUGAAUUGCAGAAUUCAGUGAAUCAUCGAAUCUUUGAACGCACAUUGCGCCCUUUGGUAUUCCAAAGGGCAUGCCUGUUCGAGCGUCAUUUGUACCCUCAAGCUUUGCUUGGUGUUGGGCGUCUUGUCUCUAGCUUUGCUGGAGACUCGCCUUAAAGUAAUUGGCAGCCGGCCUACUGGUUUCGGAGCGCAGCACAAGUCGCACUCUCUAUCAGCAAAGGUCUAGCAUCCAUUAAGCCUUUUUUUCAACUUUUGACCUCGGAUCAGGUAGGGAUCCCCGCUGAACUUAAGCAUAUCAAUAAGAGGAGGAA